RNAcentral lists this transfer RNA (77 nucleotides) under Leucothrix sp. Its description in RNAcentral is "tRNA-Arg". It matches the Rfam family "tRNA". From Rfam's summary of the family: Transfer RNA (tRNA) molecules are approximately 80 nucleotides in length. Their secondary structure includes four short double-helical elements and three loops (D, anti-codon, and T loops). Further hydrogen bonds mediate the characteristic L-shaped molecular structure. tRNAs have two regions of fundamental functional importance: the anti-codon, which is responsible for specific mRNA codon recognition, and the 3' end, to which the tRNAs corresponding amino acid is attached (by aminoacyl-tRNA synthetases). tRNAs cope with the degeneracy of the genetic code in two manners: having more than one tRNA (with a specific anti-codon) for a particular amino acid; and 'wobble' base-pairing, i.e. permitting non-standard base-pairing at the 3rd anti-codon position. The record is from RNAcentral. Lineage: Bacteria; Pseudomonadati; Pseudomonadota; Gammaproteobacteria; Thiotrichales; Thiotrichaceae.
GCUCGCGUAACUCAGCUGGAUAGAGUGCCUCCCUCCUAAGGAGGACGUCACAGGUUCGACUCCUGUCGUGAGCGCCA